Molecule: long non-coding RNA, 300 nt
Filed under: Nicotiana tabacum (common tobacco)
Lineage: Eukaryota; Viridiplantae; Streptophyta; Magnoliopsida; Solanales; Solanaceae
Description: long non-coding RNA (NTAB_LNC000393)
Source: RNAcentral
GCUUCUCGGUAUCUUUUGCUUUGUCUUUCGGCUUUUCGGGCUCUUUCGUUUUGUCCUUGGGCUUCUCGGGCUCCUUGGGCUUUUCAAAGGUGACAGUCUUACCUUUCUCAGGCUCCUUGGGCUUGUCUUUGGGCUUUUCAGGCCCUUUGGGUUUCUCAGGCUCCUUGGGCUUUUCAGGCCCUUUGGGUUUCUCGGGGUCCUUGGGCUUUUCAGGAGCUUUGGGCUUUCCAGGUUCUUUGAUCUCAAUACUCUUGAUUGCUUUUCCUCCUUUACAACACAAUUUGUCACGAAUGUUUUCAG